GAUGAACGCUGGCGGCGUGCUUAACACAUGCAAGACGAACGGUGAAGGCGGAGCUUGCUCUGCUGGAUCAGUGGCGAACGGGUGAGUAACACGUGAGCAAUCUGCCCCUGACUCUGGGAUAAGCGCUGGAAACGGCGUCUAAUACUGGAUACGAGCUGCGAAGGCAUCUUCAGCAGCUGGAAAGAAUUUCGGUCAGGGAUGAGCUCGCGGCCUAUCAGCUUGUUGGUGAGGUAAUGGCUCACCAAGGCGUCGACGGGUAGCCGGCCUGAGAGGGUGACCGGCCACACUGGGACUGAGACACGGCCCAGACUCCUACGGGAGGCAGCAGUGGGGAAUAUUGCACAAUGGGCGAAAGCCUGAUGCAGCAACGCCGCGUGAGGGACGACGGCCUUCGGGUUGUAAACCUCUUUUAGCAGGGAAGAAGCGAAAGUGACGGUACCUGCAGAAAAAGCGCCGGCUAACUACGUG
This 468-nucleotide ribosomal RNA is filed under the name uncultured bacterium. RNAcentral describes it as "partial 16S ribosomal RNA". It matches the Rfam family "Bacterial small subunit ribosomal RNA", at positions 28 to 507 of the family's 1533-position model. The record is from RNAcentral.